This 403-nucleotide ribosomal RNA is filed under the name Fusobacteriota bacterium. RNAcentral describes it as "Fusobacteria bacterium partial 16S ribosomal RNA". It matches the Rfam family "Bacterial small subunit ribosomal RNA", at positions 355 to 776 of the family's 1533-position model. Lineage: Bacteria; Fusobacteriati; Fusobacteriota. The record is from RNAcentral.
UGGGGAAUAUUGCACAAUGGGGGAAACCCUGAUGCAGCGACGCCGCGUGAGCGAAGAAGGUUUUCGAAUCGUAAAGCUCUGUCCUAUGGGAAGAUAAUGACGGUACCAUAGGAGGAAGCCCCGGCUAACUACGUGCCAGCAGCCGCGGUAAUACGUAGGGGGCAAGCGUGGUCCGGAAUCACUGGGCGUAAAGGGUUCGCAGGCGGAAAUGCAAGUCAGUUGUGAAAGGCAGAGGCUCAACCUCUGUAAGCAAUUGAAACUGUAUUUCUUGAGAUGUGGAGAGGCAAGUGGAAUUCCUAGUGUAGCGGUGAAAUGCGUAGAUAUUAGGAAGAAUACCGGUGGCGAAGGCGACUUGCUGGACACAAACUGACGCUGAGGAACGAAAGCGUGGGUAGCAAACAGG